This is a long non-coding RNA of Trematomus bernacchii (emerald rockcod), 374 nucleotides long. RefSeq lists it as uncharacterized. Lineage: Eukaryota; Metazoa; Chordata; Actinopteri; Perciformes; Nototheniidae. The transcript has 3 exons. The record is from RefSeq and is a predicted model, not a curated record.
GAGGAAAUUAAAACCUGGAAGAUGCCACUGUCAAGUAAAAUAAAAAGCGCUUGCCAUAGGCAGCGUGUUAAUUCUGACCCUGCAGCAAGAGCUGAGAACCUUGCAAGGAGAAGAGAAAGGAAAGAUGUUCAAUCUAUCAUCGCAGAACCUGAGCCAACAACCUCACGAUUCUCUAAAUUGAGCAGCCAAGAUUGGGUAGAGUUCAAUAGUGCCUGGGGUUGCAGAAAGGCCUGAACAUAGGCAAUCCUGUAACCCAUUUGAAGCAAGGGUAAUAAUAAUAUCAAAUUAAAUGUUGGUUCAUAUUGUGCACUUCACUUAAAUCUGUAAAGUAAAACAUUACAUGAUUUGUUAAUACAUGGUUUUUAACAAUGUUA